RNAcentral lists this ribosomal RNA (1501 nucleotides) under uncultured prokaryote. RNAcentral describes it as "partial 16S ribosomal RNA". It matches the Rfam family "Bacterial small subunit ribosomal RNA". The record is from RNAcentral.
GCCCGAAGAGUUUGAUCAUGGCUCAGAUUGAACGCUGGCGGCAGGCUUAACACAUGCAAGUCGAGCGGUAACAGAGAUAGCUUGCUAUCUGCUGACGAGCGGCGGACGGGUGAGUAAUGCUUGGGAAUAUGCCUUAUGGUGGGGGACAACAGUUGGAAACGACUGCUAAUACCGCAUAACGUCUACGGACCAAAGGGGGGGGGACCUUGCGCUAUUGGAGAAGCCUGCGUCGGAUUAGCUAGUUGGUGGGGUAAAGGCCCACCAAGGCGACGAUCCGUAGCUGGUCUGAGAGGAUGAUCAGCCACACUGGGACUGAGACACGGCCCAGACUCCUACGGGAGGCAGCAGUGGGGAAUAUUGGACAAUGGGGGCAACCCUGAUCCAGCCAUGCCGCGUGUGUGAAGAUGGCCUUAGGGGUUGUAAAGCACUUUCAGUGGGGAGGAAGGUAUCAAGUUUAAUAUGCUUGGUAAUUGACGUUACCCACAGAAGAAGGACCGGCUAACUCCGUGCCAGCAGCCGCGGUAAUACGGAGGGUCCGAGCGUUAAUCGGGAUGACUGGGCGUAAAGCGCGCGUAGGUGGUUAUUUAAGUUGGAUGUGAAAGCCCAGGGCUCAACCUUGGAUCUGCAUCCAAAACUGGGUAACUAGAGUACAGUAGAGGGGGGUAGAAUUUCAGGUGUAGCGGUGAAAUGCGUAGAGAUCUGAAGGAAUACCAGUGGCGAAGGCGGCCCGCUGGAUUGAUACUGACACUGAGGUGCGAAAGCGUGGGUAGCAAACAGGAUUAGAUACCCUGGUAGUCCAUGCCGUAAACGAUGUCAACUAGCCGUUGGAAGACUUGAUCUUUUAGUAGCGCAGUUAACGCGAUAAGCACUCCGCCUGGGGAGUACGGCCGCAAGGUUAAAACUCAAAUGAAUUGACGGGGGCCCGCACAAGCGGUGGAGCAUGUGGUUUAAUUCGAUGCAACGCGAAGAACCUUACCUACCCUUGACAUCCUGCGAAUCCUGUAGAGAUAUGGGAGUGCCUUCGGGAAUGCAGAGACAGGUGCUGCAUGGCUGUCGUCAGCUCGUGUUGUGAAAUGUUGGGUUAAGUCCCGUAACGAGCGCAACCCUUGUCCUUAGUUGCCAGCAAUUCGGUUGGGGACUCUAAGGAGACUGCCGGUGACAAACCGGAGGAAGGUGGGGACGACGUCAAGUCAUCAUGGCCCUUACGGGUAGGGCUACACACGUGCUACAAUGGUCGGUACAGAGGGUUGCGAAGUCGCGAGGCGGAGCCAAUCCCAGAAAGCCGAUCGUAGUCCGGAUUGCAGUCUGCAACUCGACUGCAUGAAGUUGGAAUCGCUAGUAAUCGCGAAUCAGAACGUCGCGGUGAAUACGUUCCCGGGCCUUGUACACACCGCCCGUCACACCAUGGGAGUGGGUUGCAAAAGAAGUGGGUAGUCUAACCUUCGGGAGGGCGCUCACCACUUUGUGAUUCAUGACUGGGGUGAAGUCGUAACAAGGUAGC